Molecule: ribosomal RNA, 503 nt
Filed under: uncultured bacterium
Lineage: Bacteria
Description: partial 16S ribosomal RNA
Rfam family: Bacterial small subunit ribosomal RNA
Source: RNAcentral
AUUGAACGCUGGCGGCAGGCUUAACACAUGCAAGUCGAGCGGGGUGAUGGUGCUUGCACUAUCACUUAGCGGCGGACGGGUGAGUAAUGCUUAGGAAUCUGCCUAUUAGUGGGGGACAACAUCUCGAAAGGGAUGCUAAUACCGCAUACGUCCUACGGGAGAAAGCAGGGGAUCACUUGUGACCUUGCGCUAAUAGAUGAGCCUAAGUCGGAUUAGCUAGUUGGUGGGGUAAAGGCCUACCAAGGCGACGAUCUGUAGCGGGGCUGAGAGGAUGAUCCGCCAGACUUGGACUGAGACACGGCCCAGACUCCUACGGGGGGCAGCAGUGGGGAAUAUUGGACAAUGGGGGGAACCCUGAUCCAGCCAUGCCGCGUGUGUGAAGAAGGCCUUAUGGUUGUAAAGCACUUUAAGCGAGGAGGAGGCUCUUUUGGUUAAUACCCAAGAUGAGUGGACGUUACUCGCAGAAUAAGCACCGGCUAACUCUGUGCCAGCAGCCGCCGUAA